ACGCUCGACACCUACGGGGGGCAGCAGUGGGGAAUAUUGCACAAUGGGGGAAACCCUGAUGCAGCGACGCCGCGUGAGUGAAGAAGUAUUUCGGUAUGUAAAGCUCUAUCAGCAGGGAAGAAAAUGACGGUACCUGACUAAGGAGCCCCGGCUAACUACGUGCCAGCAGCCGCGGUAAUCUGAGCGGGCUGGCAAGGC
RNAcentral lists this ribosomal RNA (198 nucleotides) under uncultured bacterium. RNAcentral describes it as "partial 16S ribosomal RNA". It matches the Rfam family "Bacterial small subunit ribosomal RNA", at positions 328 to 539 of the family's 1533-position model. The record is from RNAcentral.